UAGGGAAUCUUCCGCAAUGGGCGAAAGCCUGACGGAGCAACGCCGCGUGAGUGAUGAAGGUCUUCGGCUCGUAAAACUCUGUUAUUAGGGAAGAACAAAUGUGUAAGUAACUAUGCACGUCUUGACGGUACCUAAUCAGAAAGCCACGGCUAACUACGUGCCAGCAGCCGCGGUAAUACGUAGGUGGCAAGCGUUAUCCGGAAUUAUUGGGCGUAAAGCGCGCGUAGGCGGUUUUUUAAGUCUGAUGUUAAAGCCCACGGCUCAACCGUUGAGGGUCACUGGGAACUGGAAAACUUGAGUGCAGAAGAGGAAAGUGGAAUUCCAUGUGUAGCGGUGAAAUGCGCAGAGUUAUGGAGGAACACCAGUGGCGAAGGCGACUUUCUGGUCUGUAACUGAAGCAGAUGUGCGAAAGCGUGGGGAUCAAACAGG
RNAcentral lists this ribosomal RNA (429 nucleotides) under Actinomycetes bacterium. Its description in RNAcentral is "Actinobacteria bacterium partial 16S ribosomal RNA". It matches the Rfam family "Bacterial small subunit ribosomal RNA", at positions 355 to 776 of the family's 1533-position model. Lineage: Bacteria; Bacillati; Actinomycetota; Actinomycetes. The record is from RNAcentral.